This 331-nucleotide ribosomal RNA is filed under the name uncultured bacterium. RNAcentral's name for it is "bacterial SSU rRNA". It matches the Rfam family "Bacterial small subunit ribosomal RNA", at positions 568 to 898 of the family's 1533-position model. The record is from RNAcentral.
UGUGUAGGCGGUUGUUUAAGUUUGGUGUGAAAUCUCCCGGCUUAACUGGGAGGGUGCGCCGAAUACUGAAUGACUAGAGUGCGGGAGAGGAGAGUGGAAUUCCUGGUGUAGCGGUGAAAUGCGUAGAUAUCAGGAGGAACACCGGCGGUGUAGACGGCUCUCUGGACCGUAACUGACGCUGAGACACGAAAGCGUGGGUAGCAAACAGGAUUAGAUACCCUGGUAGUCCACGCCCUAAACGAUGCAUAUUUGGUGUGGGCAGUUCAUUCUGUCCGUGCCGGAGCUAACGCGUUAAAUAUGACCGCCUGGGGAGUACAGUCGCAAGGCUGAA